Long non-coding RNA from Suricata suricatta (meerkat), 403 nucleotides. RefSeq lists it as uncharacterized. The transcript has 2 exons. NCBI's taxonomy places the organism in Eukaryota, Metazoa, Chordata, Mammalia, Carnivora, Herpestidae. The record is from RefSeq and is a predicted model, not a curated record.
UGGGUAACCCGGGGUGACUCUAAGCCACCUUCGAGAGGACCAGGAACCCAGUGGGGCACCAGAUACCUGAAACCAGUAUGCCCCCCCGUGCCAGGGUCCGGGGACUUCGCAGUGAGAGAGUUCUUCCUGCCCCCACUCAAGCCUGGGAGGUCUCCCUGAGUGCUGCCUAUAUCUGACUCCUGCCCCGGCUCUCUGGCUGUGACGUUAUCGGUUUGAGAAUCUGUCACAUGGUUGUCUCCUCCCGGUGUUUCUUUUUAUAGCUUAUCAUCAUGUCUGUGUAUGGUUCUGGGUUUCCACUUCUGAUGGUGACAUCAAGUUUCCUUGUAAAACUUAAGUAAGAAAAAAUACGAAUAACACACAAGACAGGUGGAGACGGAUGUAAUUAAACGGGAACACAGCAUCA